UACGUAGGAGACGAGCGUUGUCCGGAGUUACUGGGCGUAAAGGGUGUGUAGGCGGUUGUUUAAGUUUGGUGUGAAAUCUCCCGGCUCAACUGGGAGGGUGCGCCGAAUACUGAGCGACUAGAGUGCGGGAGAGGAAAGUGGAAUUCCUGGUGUAGCGGUGAAAUGCGUAGAUAUCAGGAGGAACACCGGUGGUGUAGACGGCUUUCUGGACCGUAGCUGACGCUGAGACACGAAAGCGUGGGUAGCAAACAGG
RNAcentral lists this ribosomal RNA (253 nucleotides) under uncultured bacterium. Its description in RNAcentral is "partial 16S ribosomal RNA". It matches the Rfam family "Bacterial small subunit ribosomal RNA", at positions 524 to 776 of the family's 1533-position model. The record is from RNAcentral.